UAUGGAUUCGGAUAUGGAUAUAAAAAAUAAAAACCCGACGGAUAUGGAUUCAGAUAUGGAUUUUGAUUGUACCCGACCCGAACCUGAACCCGACCCGAACCUGAAUUUAUUUUGUAUUAUAUAAUAUAUAUAUAUAUAUAUAAAUUUGAUGUUAUAUUUGAAUUUGUAUUUUAAAAUUUUAGAUUUAAUAUAAUAUAUUUUGAAAUAUUGAAAAAAGAAAUAAUUGUUUCGGGUUCAAAUUUUCGAGUUCAGGUUCGGGUUCAGGUUUCAGAUUUUUGGUCGGGUUCGGGUUUGGAUAUGGAUUUUUAAAAUCCGUCGGGUUCGGGUUUUCAUAAAAU
This 338-nucleotide long non-coding RNA is filed under the name Ananas comosus (pineapple). RNAcentral describes it as "long non-coding RNA (ACOM_LNC030573)". The record is from RNAcentral. Lineage: Eukaryota; Viridiplantae; Streptophyta; Magnoliopsida; Poales; Bromeliaceae.